AUGUCUAGGAAUGUGUCGGACAGCUUAGGUAUUGGUGAAUCGGCUGAUGAGUUGUUGCAAACACCACUUAGUAGGCGGGCUAAAGUCUGGAAAUACUAUGACCCAGAUUUGGUAGAGGUGGACAAUGUCCCGAAGGUUGUGUGUAAGUAUUGUUCCAUGAAAUUAGCAUGCAAGUCUGGGACGAGCAGCCUUAGAAACCACAUUGGUGAGUCAUGCCCCAAAAUCGAUGACGAUUUCAGAAAUAGGUUUCUUGCAACAAUUAAGAAAAAACCAUCAGAUGUGGGGUUUGUUUUCGAUCCUCAAAUAAGUCGUCAGCUCAUGAUCAAAUAUUGCAUCCAUGCGAAGGUUGCAUUCAGGAAGUUUGAGGAUCCUUACUUUGAGGAGUGGAUGGACUCGAUGCAGCCCACCUUUAAGGUCAUUCAGCGCCACACUGUUCGCAAUGACUGUGUGGACACAUAUGAGCAAAUGAAGGAUCAGCUGCGCAUUGAGUUCGAGUCUCUUGAUUCCCGUGUUUGUUUGACCUCGGACAUGUGGACCUCUGUACAAGAACUAGGCUAUAUGUGUGUUACCGCUCACUACAUUGAUGGCAAUUUCAACCUGAAGAAGAAGGUCAUAUCCUUUAACAAAGUCAAGUAUCCGCACACAAGUGCAGUCGUUGAAGAGACUUUGUGCAAGUGUUUGAAUGAAUGA
This 690-nucleotide ribosomal RNA is filed under the name Triticum aestivum (bread wheat). Its description in RNAcentral is "partial small subunit ribosomal RNA". The record is from RNAcentral. Lineage: Eukaryota; Viridiplantae; Streptophyta; Magnoliopsida; Poales; Poaceae.